GAAAGUCUAUGCGGGGGGAGUCUAUGCUGCAACACCGGCGGUUCUAACUGGUUAUCAGAUUAUCUAAAUGCGUAACGUAUAUAACCUUCAUAAAGUUUCAUCCCCUGGUUACCCAAGUCUUGAUCUUCGCGAGAAGUGAGCUGCCAUUCUAACGUUCAUAUUUUUUUUAUUUUUUUUUUUUACAAAUUCUUAAAUUUAAACUUCCAAUCCAUGUUAGAUAUUGUUGCAACCGACCAGAGCAAAUCAGUGACACAAAUCUUUAAAUCUAACAACCACUCAAUACAAAUUGUCUGUUGGAGUUUAUAAUAGUGUUUAACAUGAACAAUACCAAGUCGAUGAUUUUAAGCGAGAGAUACAAGAGAACUCUUUAGAUACCUUAUGGUUAUACUGAAGUCAUCAGCUUCACGCAUUGAUAUACAUACGGGCUUUUUAUUCAUAGUACGAACGUUAGAUUUAAAGUUUAAACCACUGCAUGCAAGUCCCUGUCUGUUUGCUGGUUCAAAAUACACCCACGGUCGCUCUGUUGGGUCUUUUAUCACACAUUGACAAUCCAGGUGGGGUACGAUAUAUCCACUGUUCUGUUUAGUCUUCACACAUUGAAAAUCCAGGUGAAGUACGAUAUAUCCACUGUUCUGUUUAGUCUUCACACAUUGCAAAUUCGGGUGAGGAUAUGAUAAAUCCACUGUUCUGUUUAGUCUUCACACAUUGAAAAUCCAGGUGAGGGUACGAUAUAUCCACUGUUCUGUUUAGUUUUCGCGUUCUGUAGAGCUAUUUCCUCUGAUCUGAUGUUUCCUUUUGUUUACAGUUUUCACAGAUUGAAAUUUGGCGGAGAUUAUAU
Long non-coding RNA from Ostrea edulis (European flat oyster), 838 nucleotides. RefSeq lists it as uncharacterized. The transcript has 2 exons. The record is from RefSeq and is a predicted model, not a curated record. Lineage: Eukaryota; Metazoa; Mollusca; Bivalvia; Ostreida; Ostreidae.